Molecule: ribosomal RNA, 406 nt
Filed under: uncultured bacterium
Lineage: Bacteria
Description: partial 16S ribosomal RNA
Rfam family: Bacterial small subunit ribosomal RNA
Source: RNAcentral
AUUGAACGCUGGCGGCAGGCCUAACACAUGCAAGUCGAGCGAGCGGCGGACGGGUGAGUAAUGUAUGGGAAACUGCCCGAUGGCGGGGGAUAACUACUGGAAACGGUAGCUAAUACCGCAUACUAUCGGAUGUGCCCAGAUGGGAGUAGCUAGUAGGUGGGGGAAAGGCUCACCUAGGCGACGAUCCCUAGCUGGUCUGAGAGGAUGACCAGCCACACUGGAACUGAGACACGGUCCAGACUCCUACGGGAGGCAGCAGUGGGGAAUAUUGCACAAUGGGCGCAAGCCUGAUGCAGCCAUGCCGCGUGUAUGAAGAAGGCCUUAGGGUUGUAAAGUACUUUCAGCGGGGAGGCGUUACCCGCAGAAGAAGCACCGGCUAACUCCGUGCCAGCAGCCGCGGUAAUUC